UCGUAACAAGGUCUCCGUUGGUGAACCAGCGGAGGGAUCAUUACAGAGUUACUACUCCAAACCCAUUGUGAACCUUACCUAUGUUCUGUUGCCUCGGCGGCGUGGUCAGCGCCCCCUCUGAAAAGAGGACGAUGCCCUCCCGCCGGCAGCACCAAACUCUUUGAAUUUUACAGCGGAUUACAGUUCUGAUUUGAAAACAAAAAACAAGUUAAAACUUUCAACAACGGAUCUCUUGGUUCUGGCAUCGAUGAAGAACGCAGCGAAAUGCGAUAAGUAAUGUGAAUUGCAGAAUUCAGUGAAUCAUCGAAUCUUUGAACGCACAUUGCGCCCGGCAGUAAUCUGCCGGGCAUGCCUGUCCGAGCGUCAUUUCAACCCUCGAACCUCCGUUUCCUCAGGGAAGCUCAGGGUCGGUGUUGGGGCGCUACGGCGAGUCUUCGCGACCCUCCGUAGGCCCUGAAAUACAGUGGCGGUCCCGCCGCGGUUGCCUUCUGCGUAGUAAGUCUCUUUUGCAAGCUCGCAUUGGGUCCCGGCGGAGGCCUGCCGUCAAACCACCUAUAACUCCAGAUGGUUUGACCUCGGAUCAGGUAGGGUUACCCGCUGAACUUAAGCAUAUCAAUAAGCGGAGGA
RNAcentral lists this unclassified non-coding RNA (627 nucleotides) under Scedosporium boydii. RNAcentral describes it as "sequence contains 18S rRNA gene, ITS1, 5.8S rRNA gene, ITS2, 28S rRNA gene". The stretch from base 213 to 366 matches the Rfam family "5.8S ribosomal RNA". Lineage: Eukaryota; Fungi; Ascomycota; Sordariomycetes; Microascales; Microascaceae. The record is from RNAcentral.